This is a long non-coding RNA of Fukomys damarensis (Damara mole-rat), 491 nucleotides long. RefSeq lists it as uncharacterized. Lineage: Eukaryota; Metazoa; Chordata; Mammalia; Rodentia; Bathyergidae. The record is from RefSeq and is a predicted model, not a curated record. The transcript is spliced from 3 exons.
GGAGCUGCAAGUUCAAAGCCAGGUGUCUGCUUCUGGGCAGUGGAGCCUUCAGCAUCUGGGCAUCACCGAAAACCCAGCAGGCGUGGGAUCUUUCUUCCAAUCCCUCCUCCCCAAGCAGAAAGUGCUGUUACCAGCUGCUGUCAGCAGCCUGCAGGAAGCUGCAAUGAAUCCAGCAGAGGUGUCUGUCAGAAAUGGGAGCGCCAGUCUUCUAUUCAUGAUGUGUUUUGGUGAUAUCUGAACUCUUCAUGUUAAAAAGGUCCACGCAGCUGCCGAGAGCAGCCUUCUGACCAGCUCUGCAGCUCUGCAUCUGCUGCCCAGCUCCCCACUCCCUUACUCACACAGGUCUAGAACUGGUGAUUCCGGAAGGUCAGUGAAUGCUCCCACAGUGCCGAGUCUGCAUUCCUGUCCCCGUUCUGAGAACACAAUUCAUCCCUUCCAUCAACCUUAAAAUCGACCCUGAAACGUGCCUUUAAAGGGAAUCCAGUACACAC